Non-coding RNA from Russula dissimulans, 107 nucleotides. NCBI's taxonomy places the organism in Eukaryota, Fungi, Basidiomycota, Agaricomycetes, Russulales, Russulaceae. The record is from the annotation of a GenBank genome assembly.
GCCACCAUAACUGAGGUGGUACGGUAACAGACAUGAAAUCUGUUUCCGGAGAAGGCAGACAAGAUAUCUGCAUCUCGAGCGUGCAAGUUCGAAUCCUGCUGGUGUUC